UGGAGAGUUUGAUCCUGGCUCAGAUUGAACGCUGGCGGCAUGCCUUACACAUGCAAGUCGAACGGUAACAGGUCUUCGGAUGCUGACGAGUGGCGAACGGGUGAGUAAUACAUCGGAACGUGCCCGAGAGUGGGGGAUAACGGAGCGAAAGCUUUGCUAAUACCGCAUACGAUCUACGGAUGAAAGCAGGGGACCGCAAGGCCUUGCGCUCAUGGAGCGGCCGAUGGCAGAUUAGGUAGUUGGUGGGAUAAAAGCUUACCAAGCCGACGAUCUGUAGCUGGUCUGAGAGGACGACCAGCCACACUGGGACUGAGACACGGCCCAGACUCCUACGGGAGGCAGCAGUGGGGAAUUUUGGACAAUGGGCGAAAGCCUGAUCCAGCCAUGCCGCGUGCAGGAUGAAGGCCUUCGGGUUGUAAACUGCUUUUGUACGGAACGAAAAGACUCUGGUUAAUACCUGGGGUCCAUGACGGUACCGUAAGAAUAAGCACCGGCUAACUACGUGCCAGCAGCCGCGGUA
This 520-nucleotide ribosomal RNA is filed under the name Acidovorax delafieldii. RNAcentral describes it as "bacterial SSU rRNA". It matches the Rfam family "Bacterial small subunit ribosomal RNA", at positions 1 to 522 of the family's 1533-position model. Lineage: Bacteria; Pseudomonadati; Pseudomonadota; Betaproteobacteria; Burkholderiales; Comamonadaceae. The record is from RNAcentral.